AUUGAACGCUGGCGGCAGGCCUAACACAUGCAAGUCGAGCGAGCGGCGGACGGGUGAGUAAUGUCUGGGAAACCGCCUGAUGGAGGGGGAUAACUAACGGAAACGGUAGCUAAUACCGCAUACCAUCCGAUGUUCCCAGAUGGGAUUAGCUAGUGGGUGGGGUAACGGCUCAACUAGGCGACGAUCCCUAGCUGGGCUGAGAGGAUGACCAGCCACACUGGAACUGAGACACGGUCCAGACUCCUACGGGAGGCAGCAGUGGGGAAUAUUGCGCAAUGGGCGCAAGCCUGAUGCAGCCAUGCCGCGUGUGUGAAGAAGGCCUUCGGGUGGUAAAGCACUUUCAGCGGGGAGGCGUUACCCGCAGAAGAAGCACCGGCUAACUCCGUGCCAGCCGCCGCGGUAAUUC
RNAcentral lists this ribosomal RNA (406 nucleotides) under uncultured bacterium. Its description in RNAcentral is "partial 16S ribosomal RNA". It matches the Rfam family "Bacterial small subunit ribosomal RNA", at positions 29 to 526 of the family's 1533-position model. The record is from RNAcentral.